RNAcentral lists this ribosomal RNA (253 nucleotides) under uncultured bacterium. RNAcentral describes it as "partial 16S ribosomal RNA". It matches the Rfam family "Bacterial small subunit ribosomal RNA", at positions 524 to 776 of the family's 1533-position model. The record is from RNAcentral.
UACAGAGGUCCCGAGCGUUGUUCGGAUUCACUGGGCGUAAAGGGUGCGCAGGUGGUUUGGCAAGUUUGACGUGAAAGCCCCGGGCUUAACCCGGGAAUGGCGUUGAAAACUGCUUGAACUGGAGGAUUGGAGGGGGGACUGGAAUUCUUGUGUAGCGGUGAAAUGCGUAGAUAUCGAGAGGAACACCUGCGGCGAAGGCGGGUUGCUGGGCCGACACUGACGCUGAGGCGCGAAAGCCAGGGGAGCGAACGGG